Molecule: transfer RNA, 57 nt
Filed under: Bos taurus (domestic cattle)
Lineage: Eukaryota; Metazoa; Chordata; Mammalia; Artiodactyla; Bovidae
Also listed under: 6 other names
Rfam family: tRNA
About the family: Transfer RNA (tRNA) molecules are approximately 80 nucleotides in length. Their secondary structure includes four short double-helical elements and three loops (D, anti-codon, and T loops). Further hydrogen bonds mediate the characteristic L-shaped molecular structure. tRNAs have two regions of fundamental functional importance: the anti-codon, which is responsible for specific mRNA codon recognition, and the 3' end, to which the tRNAs corresponding amino acid is attached (by aminoacyl-tRNA synthetases). tRNAs cope with the degeneracy of the genetic code in two manners: having more than one tRNA (with a specific anti-codon) for a particular amino acid; and 'wobble' base-pairing, i.e. permitting non-standard base-pairing at the 3rd anti-codon position.
Source: Rfam by way of RNAcentral
UGGCUCAGAGGUUAAAGCGUCUGCCUCCAAUGCGGAAGACCCGGGUUCGAUCCCUGG